AACGAACGCUGGCGGGAGGCUUAACACAUGCAAGUCGAACGGAUCCUUCGGGAUUAGUGGCAGACGGGUGGGUAACGCGUGGGAACGUACCCUUUGCUACGGAAUAACUCAGGGAAACUUGAGCUAAUACCGUAUGUGCCCUACGGGGGAAAGAUUUAUCGGCAAAGGAUCGGCCCGCGUUGGAUUAGCUAGUUGGUGGGGUAAUGGCCUACCAAGGCGACGAUCCAUAGCUGGUCUGAGAGGAUGAUCAGCCACACUGGGACUGAGACACGGCCCAGACUCCUACGGGAGGCAGCAGUGGGGAAUAUUGGACAAUGGGCGCAAGCCUGAUCCAGCCAUGCCGCGUGAGUGAUGAAGGUCUUAGGAUUGUAAAGCUCUUUCACCGGUGAAGAUAAUGACGGUAGCCGGAGAAGAAGCCCCGGCUAACUUCGUG
This 433-nucleotide ribosomal RNA is filed under the name uncultured bacterium. Its description in RNAcentral is "partial 16S ribosomal RNA". It matches the Rfam family "Bacterial small subunit ribosomal RNA", at positions 29 to 507 of the family's 1533-position model. The record is from RNAcentral.